GGGGAAUGGUUCAUUCAAAUUUCUGCCCUAUCAACUUUCGAUGGUAGGAUAGUGGCCUACCAUGGUAUCCAACGGGUAACGGGGAAUUAGGGUUCUAUUCCGGAGAGGGAGCCUGAGAAACGGUACCACAUCCAAGGAAGGCAGCAGGCGCGCAAAAUUACCCAAUCCCGACACGGGAAGGUAGUGACAAUAAAUACUGAUACGGGGCUCUUUUGAGUCUUGUAAUUGGAAUGAGUACAAUUUAAAUCCCUUAACGAGGAACAAUUGGAGGGCAAGUCUGGUGCCAGCAGCCGGUAAUUCCAGCUCCAAUAGCGUAUAUCUAAAGUC
RNAcentral lists this ribosomal RNA (327 nucleotides) under uncultured fungus. Its description in RNAcentral is "SSU rRNA". It matches the Rfam family "Eukaryotic small subunit ribosomal RNA", at positions 285 to 605 of the family's 1831-position model. Lineage: Eukaryota; Fungi. The record is from RNAcentral.